RNAcentral lists this transfer RNA (71 nucleotides) under Dreissena polymorpha. RNAcentral's name for it is "transfer RNA alanine (anticodon UGC)". It matches the Rfam family "tRNA". Rfam says of the family: Transfer RNA (tRNA) molecules are approximately 80 nucleotides in length. The record is from Rfam by way of RNAcentral. Lineage: Eukaryota; Metazoa; Mollusca; Bivalvia; Myida; Dreissenidae.
GGGAAUGUAGCUCAGUGGUAGAGCGCUCGCUUUGCAUGUGAUAGGCCCGGGUUCAAUGCCCGGCAUCUCCA